Long non-coding RNA from Zingiber officinale, 3016 nucleotides. RefSeq lists it as uncharacterized. The transcript is spliced from 2 exons. The record is from RefSeq and is a predicted model, not a curated record. Lineage: Eukaryota; Viridiplantae; Streptophyta; Magnoliopsida; Zingiberales; Zingiberaceae.
GUUUCUACGUGUGUACACCAACGCACGAUUUUGCAAGUGUGACCAAAACCCACAAAACUCUCCUCCACCGCUGAAACCCUCCUCCCCGAAACUCAUCCGCCAAAACCCAUCUCCUCCAUCUGCCUGCCCUCCCUACCCUCGUCCCCAGCUCCAAUCCCAACCCUCUCCCCGGACUCCUUCCCCGUCCCUUCGCCGCCGCAGCCAUGGCGCAGAAGAUCGGCAAAUCCUUCCGCCGGCCAGGCACCCCCUCCCUCGCCCAGGUCUAUGCCGACAACAACGUCAAGCACCCCAAAAAUUACUGGGACUAUGAAUCGCUCAACGUCCAAUGUGGGGAACAAGAUGAUUACGAAGUCUCCUACAGUAUAGAUGCGAGACCCGAUAGGGUUUAUUGAAACUAGGCAAUAGCUUUUAGCGUUGAAGCCAAGCCACCACAUGAAUUGGAUUGGGUUUGUUGUUGCACACCAUUUGAAUUCGAAGUAAGUCAUUGUUUCUAGGGUAAAUAUGUUAAUUAUUGACUAGUUACCAUUGGAGAAUACUUUUUCAAGUGUUUUGGUUACUUACUUUUCAGCUUCUCCAAAACGUGUUGUCUUUCUUUUCGAAUCUCCAAAUUCACCGUUUUCGACUUGUUAUAUGUAAAAUUUCCUGUGAAUCACAUAGCAGUUGGAACUAUUCUUCUAAAUUGCAAACAAAUAUAGUAUGUGUAUAAUACGAUCGCUUUCACCAUUAUAUGUGACGCAUUGCAUGAGCACAUGUUUUACCUGUACUGGAAUUAUCCAUCCUUUCUUGGAUGACGGCAUUAAUACUCUUAUUAUCAAAUUAUCUCCAUUGUAUUUUUUAUACUAAGUGAUAACUUUUUUGUUACUUGAUUUCUUUGUCUUUUUAGCCCUUUGAAGGCAAUUGAUAUAUUGGAAGCAUAUGAAGGGACGUUGGAGGAUGAUUAGCCAAGAUUUGUUGAUGUGGUUCAAAUUCCCUUUUCUAUCAUUUACGUGCUUAGGAAUAGAUUUGACGCCAAGAAAUGAACUUGAGAACCUUUUUAAUAUUUUUAUUUUAAUUUCUUCUAGGUGUCCUUAUCUCAGAUUAUUGCAUAAAAUUAUUUUUUUUAGUGGUGGAAGUGUUUUGUUGGAAAUAGAUGACAUACGUCAAAAUAUUUCUGAUCUUGUGAUGGUUAUCGUGUCUGCAACAUGUAAUGCAUGGACAGCAGUGAGUAUUGAACAUAUUAGAAAAUAAUGUUCUUUUAUUGGGAUCAUCUUCCUUUACUUUGAAUAAUUAAUAAAAUUUAGCCAUCUAUAUUGUCUUCAAUUGUGGGCUCCAUUUGCAGUUCUUAUUACUAUGUGUUUGAUAUCUACUAAUUCAUGAAGUAUUUCAGUUAAUAACUAUCUACUUGCUUGUUGGAUCUAUAAUUGAAUCAGGAGGCUUUAGCUUUAUUAGUGAAAUGGUGCAGGUAAGUUACUUUCACUUUUCUUGUAAUGCAACAAACAAUGUUGGUUUACUUUGAUGACUCAAUAUUGUAUCCAAAAACUUAUCUUGUGUGUUUACCAAUGCUAUUGGUAUCUAACUAUAAUAAUCCACUUCCAUAUAUUAAAAGAAACAAAUUCUGCUCUAAUAUUUUUUUUUUCUUGGGCAAACUUUAGUCUCGACUGUGAAAUUAGCUUAUGAUGAAAUCCAACAAACAUUGCUUUGAAGCAACAUUAAGAGAAAUUUGCAAACAUCUUGUGGUAGUAAUUAACAUUAAUAUUUUUUUGUUAUGUUAUAUGAUUUUAUCCUACUUGUCGAGCUUUUAUUAGGAUAUUUACUACUAUUUUAUGUUGUUUGUACUUUUAGAAAUCACCUUUGGCAUUGCUAUGAAACAGUAGAUCAGUAUGGUGUAAUCUUUCUUCGUUUUUGCUUUGGGCUUGGAAUUCUCCAUAAGGUAUUUUGUCAAAAUCUUUUUUACAUGCCCUAGAAGGCACUUGGAAGUUAUAGAUCUUGACGCUAUUAUAGUUGCUCUUCCUUUGCAUUUAUAGAUUAGGGUUGUUCGUGUUGUGACUAUUGGUGGAGGAUUUCUCCAAAUGCUACUAUUCAUGUGCUUAUGCGGUGUAAUUGCGUCCGUACGUUCACAAGUCUCAUGCACUAUUUUUUGUUGGAAUCAUUCUUCCUACUAUCAAAUAUGCUUCAUACUACUUUUACAAUUUUACGUACAUUAGCUUCUCUGUAGAAGGAAAGUCAUUUCUUUCCUUCUGCUUUCAGAAUGUAGCUAUGUUAGCAAAGGUUCAAUCUAUAACUUUAUAUUCUUAACACCGUGCUAAAAUUAGAUAUAUUCAUAAUUUUUGUUACCAUACUGAGUAUGGAGGCUUUCUUGAUUAGUAGGGUUUUAAUAUAUAUGUUCAAUGUUAAUUCGUAUAACUGCAAGAGUUAAAUUAAUAACAAUAAGUUAUAUUAUAUUAAGUUCAACUUGAAAAUCAUUAAUCACAUUUCAAACAUCAAAAAUAUGAUUUGCUUAUCAUAUUGGAGUACUUAUCUAUGCCUAAUUGGUUAGCUACAAAAUAAUUACGAACGUUCGGUCAUGUGUAGUUCUUGUAAGAUUGUUCAAGUGGAAGUUCUUCAGAAACAUUUUGUUAAACUUAAUUCUUUGUUUCCUAGUUUUUUUAUGUGAACUUGAACAUCUAAGUUUUAUCAUAAGAGAAUUUCUAACGCUAAACUUUUAUUUUGAUGCAGUGUUAAAGCAACUAUUGGGAGGUACAAGAAAGCUUGUAAUGAGACCCCACGAACUAUUGGCAGUAUUAAAGAACUUGAGAAGUUGGGCCCAAAGAAAGGUGUCAUAGGUUAGUCAUGAAGGAUGUUUUACAAAAUUUAGUGGACGAUGAUCUUGUUACAAAGCACUUCUAUGAGUUCAUUUCCCUUGAUGAUCUUGUUACAAAGCACUUCUAUGAGUUCAUUUCCCUUCAUACAAUCUAAGGAGUUUUUGUUUUUGUAUAGACUUAAUAUGGAUACAAAGUUAAUUUAUGAAUUAUGUGUACAUAUUUCUGUUUGAAUUGUA